UCUGGCAGCAAUGGCGAGAAGGUCACACCCGUUCCCAUACCGAACACGGAAGUUAAGCUUCUCAGCGCCGAUGGUAGUUGGGACUUUGUCCUUGUGAGAGUAGGACGUUGCCAGGC
Molecule: ribosomal RNA, 116 nt
Filed under: Neobacillus sp. DY30
Lineage: Bacteria; Bacillati; Bacillota; Bacilli; Caryophanales; Bacillaceae
Source: RNAcentral